UUGACGCUGANGUUGGUACUUGUACNACUGGNUGAGCAGCGAACGGGUGAGUAACGCGUGGGGAAUCUGCCUUUGAGCGGGGGACAACAUUUGGAAACGAAUGCUAAUACCGCAUAAAAACUUUAAACACAAGUUUUAAGUUUGAAAGAUGCAAUUGCAUCACUCAAAGAUGAUCCCGCGUUGUAUUAGCUAGUUGGUGAGGUAAAGGCUCACCAAGGCGAUGAUACAUAGCCGACCUGAGAGGGUGAUCGGCCACAUUGGGACUGAGACACGGCCCAAACUCCUACGGGAGGCAGCAGUAGGGAAUCUUCGGCAAUGGACGAAAGUCUGACCGAGCAACGCCGCGUGAGUGAAGAAGGUUUUCGGAUCGUAAAACUCUGUUGGUAGAGAAGAACGUUGGUGAGAGUGGAAAGCUCAUCAAGUGACGGUAACUACCCAGAAAGGGACGGCUAACUACGUGCCAGCAGCCGCGGUAAUACGUAGGUCCCGAGCGUUGUCCGGAUUUAUUGGGCGUAAAGCGAGCGCAGGUGGUUUAUUAAGUCUGGUGUAAAAGGCAGUGGCUCAACCAUUGUAUGCAUUGGAAACUGGUAGACUUGAGUGCAGGANANGAGAGUGGAAUUCCAUGUGUAGCGGUGAAGGCCNUAAAU
This 647-nucleotide ribosomal RNA is filed under the name Lactococcus lactis subsp. lactis. RNAcentral's name for it is "bacterial SSU rRNA". It matches the Rfam family "Bacterial small subunit ribosomal RNA", at positions 62 to 695 of the family's 1533-position model. Lineage: Bacteria; Bacillati; Bacillota; Bacilli; Lactobacillales; Streptococcaceae. The record is from RNAcentral.